This is a long non-coding RNA of Oncorhynchus tshawytscha (Chinook salmon), 643 nucleotides long. Lineage: Eukaryota; Metazoa; Chordata; Actinopteri; Salmoniformes; Salmonidae. The record is from Ensembl.
GUUAUCUGUAACAACUGUCUCCUAACUACCAUAUUGGGACAGGGCCAUUCUCUGUAACAACCGUCUCCUAAGUACCAUAUUGGGACAGGGCAUUCUCUGUAACAACUGUCUCCUAACUACCAUAUUGGGACAGGGCCAUUCUCUGUAACAACUGUCUCCUAACUACCAUAUUGGGACAGGCAUCUGUCUCUGUAACAACUGUCUCCUAACUACCAUAUUGGGACAGGGCCUUUCUCUGUAACAACUGUCUCCUAACUACCAUAUUGGGACAGGGCCAUUCUCUGUAACAACUGUCUCCUAAGUACCAUAUUGGGACAGGGAAAUUCUCUGUAGCAACUGUCUCCUAACUAGCAUGUUGGGACAGGCACCUGUCUCUGUAACAACUGUCUCCUAACUACCAUAUUGGGACAGGCACCUGUCUCCGAAACAACUGUCUCCUAACUACCAUAUUGGGACAGGGACAUCCCCUUUACAACUGUCCCCUAACUACCAUAUUGGGACAGGGCAAUUCUCUGUAACAACUGUCUCCUAACUACCAUAUUGGGACAGGCAUCUGUCUCUGUAACAACUGUCUCCUAACUACCAUAUUGGGACAGGCACCUGUCUCUGUAACAACUGUCUCCUAACUACCAUAUUGGGACAG